UACGAAGGGGGCUAGCGUUGUUCGGAAUUACUGGGCGUAAAGCGCGCGCAGGCGGGUCAUCAAGUCAGAGGUGAAAUCCCAGGGCUCAACUCUGGAACUGCCUUUGAAACUGGCGAGCUUGAGUACGGGAGAGGUGAGUGGAAUUCCCAGUGUAGAGGUGAAAUGCGUAGAUAUUGGGAGGAACACCAGUGGCGAAGGCGGCUCCCUGGCCCGUAACUGACGCUGAGGCGCGAUAGCGUGGGGAGCAAACAGG
RNAcentral lists this ribosomal RNA (253 nucleotides) under uncultured bacterium. Its description in RNAcentral is "partial 16S ribosomal RNA". It matches the Rfam family "Bacterial small subunit ribosomal RNA", at positions 524 to 776 of the family's 1533-position model. The record is from RNAcentral.